GUUUGUGUAGCUUAACUAAGCAAAGCAAAGCACUGAAAAUGCUUAGAUGGACUUUUAAUCAGUUCCACAAGCA
RNAcentral lists this transfer RNA (73 nucleotides) under Sarcophilus harrisii (Tasmanian devil). It matches the Rfam family "tRNA". Rfam says of the family: Transfer RNA (tRNA) molecules are approximately 80 nucleotides in length. Their secondary structure includes four short double-helical elements and three loops (D, anti-codon, and T loops). Further hydrogen bonds mediate the characteristic L-shaped molecular structure. tRNAs have two regions of fundamental functional importance: the anti-codon, which is responsible for specific mRNA codon recognition, and the 3' end, to which the tRNAs corresponding amino acid is attached (by aminoacyl-tRNA synthetases). tRNAs cope with the degeneracy of the genetic code in two manners: having more than one tRNA (with a specific anti-codon) for a particular amino acid; and 'wobble' base-pairing, i.e. permitting non-standard base-pairing at the 3rd anti-codon position. The record is from Rfam by way of RNAcentral. Lineage: Eukaryota; Metazoa; Chordata; Mammalia; Dasyuromorphia; Dasyuridae.